This is a small nuclear RNA of Sorex fumeus (smoky shrew), 109 nucleotides long. Lineage: Eukaryota; Metazoa; Chordata; Mammalia; Eulipotyphla; Soricidae. The record is from RefSeq and is a predicted model, not a curated record.
GUGAAUGAAACCACUGGCAGCACAUAUACUAAAAUUGGAACCAUACAGAGAAGAUUAGUGACCCCUGCUCGAGGAUGACAUGCAAAUUUUUGAAGUGUUCCAUAUUUUU